CGACAGUCGGAGCGAUUAGACGUACAUAUUUCGUGUCACUCCGUGAUAGGUAUUCACCUUCCUAUUACGUAGGAUUUUCGUAGUGAUUCUUUGACCGCCCAAACCCAGGUUAUUGUUAAUUUCGUUCAACUAACAUUAUUGUUUGUUUACGAGGAAAACUUUGAACUAUUAGAGGGAUGCCACGAUAUCCAAAAGGACACCAUGACGAUUGACAAUGAAUUUGAAACCAUUUAAUGGAAGUUUGGUAACAUUUAAUUUAUUCUAAUAAAAACAAACGUAUUUGUACGUUUGUUUUCUUCUUUUCUGCAUAAUUGGUAAUAUUUAUUUAAUAUUCUACCGGGAUGCAUUUUCAAUAAGUAAUACGUAAUAUUAACAUAACGAAUACGUAAUGUAUCAAAAUUUUAAAUAAUUUCACGAUUUAUUAAAAAUACUAAGAUGAAAUUAGACAGAAUCAGAGAAAUCACGUCUUUUCAUUUCGAAUAUGUUAAAUUACUUGUGUAUUUCAAACAAGUUUGUACACGUUCUGCGCAUCGCGUUUUUUUCAUAUUGCGCAGCUUUGUUUAACGUAUAGAAAGGCCAAUAUGUAUAUCUAAAACUGUAAUGGCGGACAUUCAGUUCAGCAAGCAAUUUUUACAAAUGACGCAUAUUGUACAAUAGUCAUAGUAAAUAUUUGACAGUAAUAGGAAAUACUGUAUAAUGUAUAAUAAUAUUUAAAAAAUAUAUAUAUAUAUCUUAUAUUCUUAAUAACUAGUUCCUAGUUUUAAAAAAACAGUAUUUUCAUAAACAAACAGUCGAUAUAAAAAGAACAAAAAUAUGAAAAGCAGUAUUUUUUUUUCCUUACGCCUUAUCCUCUAAUAAAAUUUGUCUUUCAGAGAAUUAUUGUGAUCGCGCGCAAUGCGAUCGAUAGAGUCAGUGUUUGCUGCGUAAUAAUACUUUUUGUAUUUUAUAGAGCAUAAUAGCUUUUUAUAAUUAUAAAUUCAAUUACAAUAGUUGUACGCGAAAUUAGAGUCAGUGUGUUCGCCGAUUGUUACUUAAACGGACGCGUUAAUAGCCUUUUUUUUUGUUUCUUUUUUUAUGUCUUUUUUUUCUAAACAUUCGCUUUUGGUAGUAGAGUCGCAGGUUUCGCAAGAGGAUACGGCCUCUCCUGGAACUCAAGAAUGUUUUUCAUUCCUUCCUGUUCUCUGGAGAAUACAUAGUAGUAUUCAGUUCUCUGGUGCUUCAAAAGCCAAGAAU
Molecule: long non-coding RNA, 1233 nt
Organism: Bombus huntii
Lineage: Eukaryota; Metazoa; Arthropoda; Insecta; Hymenoptera; Apidae
Exons: 3
Source: RefSeq, a predicted model, not a curated record